UGGUCUCGGGGGGGCCCUGUCCGCCUUCCGCGUGUGCGAUGAAGGCCUUCGGGUUGUAAAGCACUUUUGGCAGGAAAGAAAUCGCACAAAUUAAUACUUUGUGUGGAUGACGGUACCUGCAGAAUAAGCACCGGCUAACUACGUGCCAGCAGCCGCGGUAAUACGUAGGGUGCAAGCGUUAAUCGGAAUUACUGGGCGUAAAGCGUGCGCAGGCGGUUCGGAAAGAAAGGUGUGAAAUCCCAGGGCUUAACCUUGGAACUGCACUUUUAACUCCCGAGCUAGAGUAUGUCAGAGGGGGGUGGAAUUCCGCGUGUAGCAGUAGGGAUUUGGGGAUAUGCGGGAGGAACACCGAAAGCAAAAGCAGCCCCCUGGGAUGAUCCUGACGCUCAUGCACCAAA
RNAcentral lists this ribosomal RNA (398 nucleotides) under uncultured bacterium. RNAcentral's name for it is "bacterial SSU rRNA". It matches the Rfam family "Bacterial small subunit ribosomal RNA", at positions 366 to 758 of the family's 1533-position model. The record is from RNAcentral.